RNAcentral lists this ribosomal RNA (253 nucleotides) under uncultured bacterium. RNAcentral describes it as "partial 16S ribosomal RNA". It matches the Rfam family "Bacterial small subunit ribosomal RNA", at positions 524 to 776 of the family's 1533-position model. The record is from RNAcentral.
GACAGAGGUGCCAAGCGUUAGGCGGAAUCACUGGGCUUAAAGCGUGUGUAGGCGGACGGGUAAGUACCUUGUGAAAUCCCACGGCUCAACCGUGGAACUGCUCGGUAUACUGCCCGUCUUGAGCCACUCAGGGGUCGUCGGAACAAGCGGUGGAGCGGUGAAAUGCGUAGAUAUCUGGAGGAACACCGGUGGCGAAGGCGACGUCCUGGACCGGCAUUGACGCUGAGGCGCGAAAGCCAGGGGAGCAAACGGG